UACGAAGGGAGCUAGCGUUGUUCGGAAUCACUGGGCGUAAAGCGCACGUAGGCGGAUGUGUCAGUCAGGGGUGAAAUCCCGGAGCUCAACUUCGGAACUGCCUUUGAUACAGCACAUCUCGAGUCCGGAAGAGGUGGGUGGAAUUCCUAGUGUAGAGGUGAAAUUCGUAGAUAUUAGGAAGAACACCGGUGGCGAAGGCGGCCCACUGGUCCGAGACUGACGCUGAGGUGCGAAAGCGUGGGGAGCAAACAGG
RNAcentral lists this ribosomal RNA (253 nucleotides) under uncultured bacterium. RNAcentral describes it as "partial 16S ribosomal RNA". It matches the Rfam family "Bacterial small subunit ribosomal RNA", at positions 524 to 776 of the family's 1533-position model. The record is from RNAcentral.